This 492-nucleotide ribosomal RNA is filed under the name uncultured bacterium. RNAcentral's name for it is "partial 16S ribosomal RNA". It matches the Rfam family "Bacterial small subunit ribosomal RNA", at positions 29 to 507 of the family's 1533-position model. The record is from RNAcentral.
AGUGAACGCUGGCGGUAGGCCUAACACAUGCAAGUCGAACGGCAGCACAGUAAGAGCUUGCUCUUACGGGUGGCGAGUGGCGGACGGGUGAGGAAUACAUCGGCAUCUACUUUUUCGUGGGGGAUAACGUAGGGAAACUUACGCUAAUACCGCAUACGACCUACGGGUGAAAGCAGGGGAUCUUCGGACCUUGCGCGAUUGAAUGAGCCGAUGUCGGAUUAGCUAGUUGGCGGGGUAAAGGCCCACCAAGGCGACGAUCCGUAGCUGGUCUGAGAGGAUGAUCAGCCACACUGGAACUGAGACACGGUCCAGACUCCUACGGGAGGCAGCAGUGGGGAAUAUUGGACAAUGGGGGCAAGCCUGAUCCAGCCAUACCGCGUGGGUGAAGAAGGCCUUCGGGUUGUAAAGCCCUUUUGUCGGGAAAGAAAAGCAGCAGGUUAAUACCCCGCUGUUCUGACGGUACCCAAAGAAUAAGCACCGGCUAACUUCGUG